RNAcentral lists this ribosomal RNA (253 nucleotides) under uncultured bacterium. RNAcentral's name for it is "partial 16S ribosomal RNA". It matches the Rfam family "Bacterial small subunit ribosomal RNA", at positions 524 to 776 of the family's 1533-position model. The record is from RNAcentral.
UACGGAGGGGGCUAGCGUUGUUCGGAAUUACUGGGCGUAAAGCGCACGUAGGCGGACUGUUAAGUCGGGGGUGAAAUCCUUGGGCUCAACCUCAGAAUUGCCUCCGAUACUGGCAGUCUCGAGUGCGGGAGAGGUGAGUGGAAUUCCCAGUGUAGAGGUGAAAUUCGUAGAUAUUGGGAAGAACACCAGUGGCGAAGGCGGCUCACUGGCCCGUAACUGACGCUGAGGUGCGAAAGCGUGGGGAGCAAACAGG